GACGAACGCUGGCGGCGUGCUUAACACAUGCAAGUCGAACGGAAAGGCCCUGCUUUUGUGGGGUGCUCGAUUGGCGAACGGGUGAGUAACACGUGAGUAACCUGCCCUUGACUUUGGGAUAACUUCAGGAAACUGGGGCUAAUACCGGAUAGGAGCUCCUUCUGCAUGUUGGGGGUUGGAAAGUUUCGUCGGUUGGGGAUGGACUCGCGGCUUAUCAGCUUGUUGGUGAGGUAGUUGCUUACCAAGGCUUUGACGGGUAGCCGGCCUGAGAGGGUGACCGGCAACAUUGGGACUGAGAUACGGCGCAGACUGCUACGGGAGGCAGCAGUGGGGAAUAUGGCAAAAUGGGCGGAAGCCUGAUGCAGCAACGCCGCGUGCGGGAUGACGGCCUUCGGGUUGUAAACCGAUUUCGACUGUGACGAAGCGUGAGUGACGGUAAUGGGUAAAGAAGCAACGGCUAACUACGUG
Molecule: ribosomal RNA, 468 nt
Filed under: uncultured bacterium
Lineage: Bacteria
Description: partial 16S ribosomal RNA
Rfam family: Bacterial small subunit ribosomal RNA
Source: RNAcentral